This 704-nucleotide ribosomal RNA is filed under the name uncultured Pseudoalteromonas sp. Its description in RNAcentral is "bacterial SSU rRNA". It matches the Rfam family "Bacterial small subunit ribosomal RNA", at positions 87 to 793 of the family's 1533-position model. The record is from RNAcentral. Lineage: Bacteria; Pseudomonadati; Pseudomonadota; Gammaproteobacteria; Alteromonadales; Pseudoalteromonadaceae.
GAUGACGAGCGGCGGACGGGUGAGUAAUGCUUGGGAACAUGCCUUGAGGUGGGGGACAACAGUUGGAAACGACUGCUAAUACCGCAUAAUGUCUACGGACCAAAGGGGGCUUCGGCUCUCGCCUUUAGAUUGGCCCAAGUGGGAUUAGCUAGUUGGUGAGGUAAUGGCUCACCAAGGCGACGAUCCCUAGCUGGUUUGAGAGGAUGAUCAGCCACACUGGGACUGUGACACGGCCCAGACUCCUACGGGAGGCAGCAGUGGGGAAUAUUGCACAAUGGGCGCAAGCCUGAUGCAGCCAUGCCGCGUGUGUGAAGAGGGCCUUCGGGUUGUAAAGCACUUUCAGUCAGGAGGAAAGGUUAGUAGUUAAUACCUGCUAGCUGUGACGUUACUGACAGAAGAAGCACCGGCUAACUCCGUGCCAGCAGCCGCGGUAAUACGGAGGGUGCGAGCGUUAAUCGGAAUUACUGGGCGUAAAGCGUACGCAGGCGGUUUGUUAAGCGAGAUGUGAAAGCCCCGGGCUCAACCUGGGAACUGCAUUUCGAACUGGCAAACUAGAGUGUGAUAGAGGGUGGUAGAAUUUCAGGUGUAGCGGUGAAAUGCGUAGAGAUCUGAAGGAAUACCGAUGGCGAAGGCAGCCACCUGGGUCAACACUGACGCUCAUGUACGAAAGCGUGGGGAGCAAACAGGAUUAGAUACCCUGGUAG